This 301-nucleotide ribosomal RNA is filed under the name uncultured bacterium. Its description in RNAcentral is "partial 16S ribosomal RNA". It matches the Rfam family "Bacterial small subunit ribosomal RNA", at positions 509 to 807 of the family's 1533-position model. The record is from RNAcentral.
CAGCCGCCGCGGGAAAACGAAGGGGGCUAGCGUUGCUCGGAAUCACUGGGCGUAAAGCGUGCGUAGGCGGUUUGUUAAGUCUGCUGUGAAAUCCCCGGGCUCAACCUGGGAAUGGCAGUGGAUACUGGCAAGCUAGAGUGUGUCAGAGGAUGGUGGAAUUCCCGGUGUAGCGGUGAAAUGCGUAGAGAUCGGGAGGAACAUCAGUGGCGAAGGCGGCCAUCUGGGACAACACUGACGCUGAGGCACGAAAGCGUGGGGAGCAAACAGGAUUAGAUACCCCGGUAGUCCCUGUCUCUUAUAC